CAGUCGCCGCGGUAAUACGUAGGUGGCAAGCGUUGUCCGGAAUUAUUGGGCGUAAAGGGCUCGCAGGCGGUUUCCUAAGUCUGAUGUGAAAGCCCCCGGCUCAACCGGGAAGGGUCAUUGGAAACUGGGAAACUUGAGUGCAGAAGAGGAGAGUGGAAUUCCACGUGUAGCGGUGAAAUGCGUAGAGAUGUGGAGGAACACCAGUGGCGAAGGCGACUCUCUGGUCUGUAACUGACGCUGAGGAGCGAAAGCGUGGGGAGCGAACAGGAUUAGAUACCCCAGUAGUCCCUGUCUCUUAUAA
Molecule: ribosomal RNA, 301 nt
Filed under: uncultured bacterium
Lineage: Bacteria
Description: partial 16S ribosomal RNA
Rfam family: Bacterial small subunit ribosomal RNA
Source: RNAcentral